AUGCCACCGCGCAAGCAGAAGAACAAGGUUAAUCCAACCAAGAGGAAGGAUGUAGCAAAGAUACCUUGGUUCCUAAUGGCGUCUGGCAAAUCUAUUGACGCUCAAGUUGAAGCUGCUACAAGUGGUGUUCCUACACCAACAAAUACCACCGACUCAUCUUCAACAUUUGACGAUGCAAGUGAGUGCUGCCAUCUAUCCCUUGAGGUCAUCCGAUUCUUGACCCCAGACUUGGUAUCUGAACACAUCAAGGGUGAAGCAAAAAUGUAUGGCAGGAUAAAUAAUAACAAUGAAAGUGAUUCAUAUCCUUAUGUGUCCUGCUUAAGGAAUAUGAAAGAAAGUGUUUCAUAUACUGAUAAUGAGAGAUCCAAUGUCGAAGCCAAGGGAGACAACAACGCACAGGAGGACUAUGAACCGUCUUCUUCGCGCAAAAAAUCUAAUAGCAUUAUAAUCUUAUCUUCAGAUGACGAAGAUAUUGAUGCUUAG
This 483-nucleotide ribosomal RNA is filed under the name Triticum aestivum (bread wheat). RNAcentral's name for it is "partial small subunit ribosomal RNA". Lineage: Eukaryota; Viridiplantae; Streptophyta; Magnoliopsida; Poales; Poaceae. The record is from RNAcentral.